Molecule: long non-coding RNA, 587 nt
Filed under: Junco hyemalis (dark-eyed junco)
Lineage: Eukaryota; Metazoa; Chordata; Aves; Passeriformes; Passerellidae
Description: lncRNA (ENSJHYG00000009131.1)
Source: RNAcentral
CAGACAGACAGCGCUCACCCGUGGCAGAAAGGUGCUCACUCCUCGGGAACAGGCACAAGCUCCAAGCCAGCAGCCCCAUCCUGCUGGCAGGCUCUCCUCCUCGGGGUGAUGGUUUGACUGAACCCCAGUGAUUGACACAACCUGCUCCCCACAAGCAGGAAAGAGCUCUGGUCACACAGGGCAGCCCAGGAUGCAGCAACAAGAUGCUGGAGGAACAGUCUGCUUUUGCUGAGAGUGGAAAUGCCUCUGUUGAAAUGAUCUUGUGGAAAUAGGAAGAUGCAAGAAGAAAAUGUUCAAGUAGUCUGUAAAGCCUGCACACUGCAACAAACAGAAGGAAAGUUCACAAAAGAAAAUAAGAGUUGGAGGAUAGUGAUUGAUCUGUAUCAUAUGCUGUCCUCAUGUGGUAUGCUCAUAGAGAGUCAGGUGCACAUCAAAAUGAUGAGGCCAGCAGGAGUGAUGUCAAGCCAAGCUCUGCAGGAUGCCACGGGGAGAUGGAGCUGUGACCUCUGAGACAGGCGAGGUGAUUCUUGCAGUCAGUUUGGGGAAACUGGGAUUUAAGAACUUUUUGGAAUCUUCAAUAUCUGUGU